AGAGUUUGAUCCUGGCUCAGAUUGAACGCUGGCGGUAUGCUUAACACAUGCAAGUCGAACGGAAACGGAACUAGCUUGCUAGUAGACGUCGAGUGGCGGACGGGUGAGUAACGCGUAGGAAUCUGCCUGAUAGUGGGGGAUAGCCCGAAGAAAUUCGGAUUAAUACCGCAUAAUCUAUUCGUAGUAAAGUGAGGGACUUUCGAGCCUCACGCUAUCAGAUGAGCCUGCGUAAGAUUAGCUUGUUGGUAGGGUAAAAGCCUACCAAGGCAACGAUCUUUAGCUGGUCUGAGAGGAUGAUCAGCCACAUCGGGACUGAGACACGGCCCGAACUCCUACGGGAGGCAGCAGUGGGGAAUAUUGGACAAUGGGGGCAACCCUGAUCCAGCAAUACCGCGUGUGUGAAGAAGGCCUGAGGGUUGUAAAGCACUUUCAAUUGUGAAGAAAAGUCAACGGUUAAUAACCGUUGACCUUGACGUUAACUUUAGAAGAAGCACCGGCUAACUCCGUGCCAGCAGCCGCGGUAAUACGGAGGGUGCAAGCGUUAUCCGGAUUUAUUAGGUUUAAAGGGUUCGCAGGCGGAAUUUUAAGUCAGUGGUGAAAGCCUAUAGCUCAACUAUAGAACUGCCAUUGAUACUGAAAUUCUUGAGUAUAGAUGAAGUGGGCGGAAUAUGUCAUGUAGCGGUGAAAUGCAUAGAUAUGACAUGGAACACCAAUUGCGAAGGCAGCUCACUAAGCUAUUACUGACGCUCAUGAACGAAAGCGUGGGGAGCGAACAGGAUUAGAUACCCUGGUAGUCCACGCCGUAAACUAUGAUCACUAGAUGUUGGCGAUAUAUUGUCAGUGUUUUAGAGAAAUCGUUAAGUGAUCCACCUGGGGAGUACGUUCGCAAGAAUGAAACUCAAAGGAAUUGACGGGGGCCCGCACAAGCGGAGGAGCAUGUGGUUUAAUUCGAUGAUACGCGAGGAACCUUACCAAGACUUAAAUGUAUUUUGCUAGAUUGAGAAAUCAAUUUUUCUUCGGACAAUUUACAAGGUGCUGCAUGGUUGUCGUCAGCUCGUGCCGUGAGGUGUCGGGUUAAGUCCCAUAACGAGCGCAACCCCUAUCUCUAGUUACCAGCGAGUAAUGUCGGGAACUCUAGAGAGACUGCCUGUGUAAACAGUGAGGAAGGUGGGGAUGAUGUCAAAUCAUCACGGCCCUUAUGUCUUGGGCUACACACGUGCUACAAUGGUCACUACAGUGGGCUGCCAUCUGGUGACAGAGAGCAAAUCCAUAAAGGUGAUCCCAGUUCGGAUCGGAGUCUGCAACUCGACUCUGUGAAGUUGGAUUCGCUAGUAAUCGUAUAUCAGCAAUGAUACGGUGAAUACGUUCCCGGGCCUUGUACACACCGCCCGUCAAGCCAUGGAAGUUUGUAGUGCCUGAAGUCAGUAACCGCAAGGAUCUGCCUAGGGUAAGACAGAUAACUAGGGCUAAGUCGUAACAAGGUAACC
Molecule: ribosomal RNA, 1487 nt
Filed under: uncultured bacterium
Lineage: Bacteria
Description: bacterial SSU rRNA
Rfam family: Bacterial small subunit ribosomal RNA
Source: RNAcentral